AGGCUCUCCUUAAUCUCGCUGAGCGUCUCGGUGAGGCCAAACUGCGAGGUCUGACCAAGGGCGACAUCGAGCAGCUUCCUUCUUAUCGCUUCAACCCAAAUAACCACCAGUCGGAACAAACACUCUGCGUGGUGUGUAUGAGUGACUUUGAGUCUCGACAACUGCUGCGAGUUCUCCCCUGCAGCCACGAGUUCCACGGCAAGUGUGUGGACAAGUGGCUGAGGGCCAAUCGGACGUGUCCCAUCUGCCGAGCCGACGCCUCAGAGGUUCAGAGAGACUCUGAAUGAUCACACUCCAAUGUAGAAUGUCUUAGACAUGUUCAGCACUGCCUGUCUCAUCUGUUUUGACAUGAGCAUUAUUGCAGACACACAUCACUUCCUGAGCAUACUCCUCCUUACUGCGCGCGUGUGUGCGUGUGUGUGUGUGUGCGCGUCACAUACAACUUCUCAUGAGUGAGUGAUUCUAUUCUUCUUUCAUGCACUAUUUGUCUUUAUGUACAUACAGUAUUCCGUGUGUGUUAUGAAAUUAACUCCUCUACGUUGACAUGAAGGGUCCACUCCCCCACUAUUCUUCUCAGUUAACCUAACUAAUCAGUGUGUUUCUGUCUAUAAAGCUGAUAAUGAAUGGGCAACUUUUCUCCCUUUUAUACCGCGAGUGUGAUAGUCCUGCCUGGCAUUUACCUCAUUCUUGUCUUAACUUGUUACUAGCACUUCACAGCACUCAUUCAAAACUAAGCACAUAUAUAUAUAUAUAUUUGGUCCCUUUUAUUUUCUUAGUUUGUGACUUUGCAGUGGCACAUGAUAUAUGAAUAUAUCUAUAUAUAUAUACUGUAUAAAUGUAUGAAUCUGUAUACCAAA
Long non-coding RNA from Entelurus aequoreus (snake pipefish), 857 nucleotides. RefSeq lists it as uncharacterized. The transcript is spliced from 3 exons. The record is from RefSeq and is a predicted model, not a curated record. NCBI's taxonomy places the organism in Eukaryota, Metazoa, Chordata, Actinopteri, Syngnathiformes, Syngnathidae.